AUACGGAGGAUCCGAGCGUUAUCCGGAUUUAUUGGGUUUAAAGGGUGCGCAGGCGGCCAUUUAAGUCAGCGGUUAAAUCGUGGGGCUCAACCCCAUUCUGCCGUUGAUACUGGGUGGCUUGAUUGCGGUCGAGGUUGGCGGAAUUCGUUGUGUAGCGGUGAAAUGCAUAGAUAUGACGAAGAACACCGAUUGCGUAGGCAGCUGACCAGACCGCAAAUGACGCUCAUGCACGAAAGUGCGGGGAUCGAACAGGAUUAGAUACCCUGGUAGUCCGCACAGUAAACGAUGAAUACUUGUUUUCGGCGAUAUAGUGUCGGAGGCAGAGCGAAAGCGAUAAGUAUUCCACCUGGGGAGUACGCCGGCAACGGUGAAACUCAAAUGAAUUGACGGGG
Molecule: ribosomal RNA, 392 nt
Filed under: uncultured bacterium
Lineage: Bacteria
Description: partial 16S ribosomal RNA
Rfam family: Bacterial small subunit ribosomal RNA
Source: RNAcentral